Molecule: long non-coding RNA, 298 nt
Organism: Mauremys mutica (yellowpond turtle)
Lineage: Eukaryota; Metazoa; Chordata; Testudines; Geoemydidae
Exons: 3
Source: RefSeq, a predicted model, not a curated record
UAUAUGGCGAAGAGCCCAUGGGAUGAAGAUGAAUAAUUCUCAUGACUAGGAAUAAGAUUGUGUUUCAGGAAGAUGCACUUGCCAAGCAGAGGGUAAUUGUUGCUGUUCCUCGUGCUGGUCCCAUCACCAAAAUCAAGAGCCAACAAAUCAGUGGCAGCAGAAAAAAAGAAUUUUAGCCAAGAAUAAUCACACGGCGACUUCCAUUUGAAAACACCACUUUGAGAAUCCCUGCCAAGAAGAGAGAGACAAUUAAAGCUGUCAGGAUUGCUCACUAGGAGGCUGAAAAGAAAAGCAAGGG